UACGUAGGGUGCAAGCGUUAAUCGGAAUUACUGGGCGUAAAGCGUGCGCAGGCGGCUUUGCAAGACAGAUGUGAAAUCCCCCGGGCUUAACCUGGGAACUGCAUUUGUGACUGCAUGGGCUAGAGUGCGGCAGAGGGGGAUGGAAUUCCGCGUGUAGCAGUGAAAUGCGUAGAUAUGCGGAGGAACACCGAUGGCGAAGGCAAUCCCCUGGGCCUGCACUGACGCUCAUGCACGAAAGCGUGGGGAGCAAACAGG
This 255-nucleotide ribosomal RNA is filed under the name uncultured bacterium. RNAcentral describes it as "partial 16S ribosomal RNA". It matches the Rfam family "Bacterial small subunit ribosomal RNA", at positions 524 to 776 of the family's 1533-position model. The record is from RNAcentral.